Cornus florida is the source of this 1263-nucleotide RNA transcript. RefSeq lists it as uncharacterized. Lineage: Eukaryota; Viridiplantae; Streptophyta; Magnoliopsida; Cornales; Cornaceae. The transcript is spliced from 6 exons. The record is from RefSeq and is a predicted model, not a curated record.
GGAAAGUGGGAAGUAGUUUUACACAUGCAUUAGUGGUGGACCCAUCAAAGUUGUAUUUGGCAGCUCUCAAUUUAACUUUGUCCCGCUACUUGGUAACAAGAUCCAAUUAUAUGACAAAGCACAAACGCCUUCAUUGGUUUGGAAAAAGGAAAAGAGAAAGUAAAGAAAAUAAACAGUAUUCUGAUAUAAUUGCAACGGUCAUCUCUAUUCAACUAAUAAUAGGAGUAAUAAUCAGUCUUUCUUCUUAUCUUCAUUCUCUCUCUCUCUCUCUAGUGCAUUACCACAUCAGUUCUUCUCUCUUUGCAUAUAUAUAUAUAUAUACACACACACACACACAUAUAUUGAUAACGUUAUCAGGCCGGCGAUGGAUUAUGGCAAUUGGCUGAAUCAGCAGCGUCCGAACGGCAGGCAGGCGGUGGGUGAUUAUGACAUGCUGGCGGCGGGUCUUGGGAACGAGUUGGUGGCGGGUGUUAUGAACGUUUUCCAGGUAUACCUCCAGCCGCCGCCGACGCCACCACCACCACCACCGCAGGCGGUUGGCAUAGAGAGAAAUGUUAGAAAGGAUCGCGUGGUGAAGGCGCCACGCGGGAAGGGGAAGGCUGGAGGCCAUGUUGUUCAAAACAAUAGGGCGAAGGAAAUCACUUGAUAGUUGGCGUUUGUGUUAAGAGGGAUCUUGUACAUCAGAUCGGAAUUUAAAAAGGGGGCUUGGGCGCGAGUAGCCGAAAGGAAAUGUGUGGUUUUCUUGAGGAAUUUAAGAUUGAAAAGGGCAAGGGUAAGGGCAAAGACAAGGGCCAAAGUUCUCAUCAUCUCAUACAAGAGUCAUAUACUCAUCAUGUAUGUCAUAGCUCAACGAAAACCACAAAACAGAGGGUUACUACAAGCUCCAUGACAGCCUCAAAGAAAAGUACCACCAGACAGAUUGAAAAGGGCAAGUGCAUGUGCAAGUGCAAGUGCAAUACAAGCAUGAGGGUUACUACAAGCUCUAUGAAAAUCUCAAAGAAAACUAGCACAAGAGAGAUUCAAAAGGGCAAGGGCAAAGACAGUGGCAAUAGAAAGGGUAGAAAAAAUUAUUAAAUAAUGGUGCUGGAAGGGGAUUUGUUAGAGGCAGAGACAUGCAAUCACAUGGUGGAAGCAACACUCAAUUUGAGUAUUUUGCUAUGUACUCGCUACUAUUUUUGUACUGAUGAUGGUUUGAACAUUGCAAUUGUUUUGUCUAAACAAUGAGCCUCUCUGUUGUGUUAAUAUAAGUACUGUUUGGGUUCA